RNAcentral lists this long non-coding RNA (345 nucleotides) under Theobroma cacao (cacao). RNAcentral's name for it is "long non-coding RNA (TCAC_LNC003506)". Lineage: Eukaryota; Viridiplantae; Streptophyta; Magnoliopsida; Malvales; Malvaceae. The record is from RNAcentral.
AUGCGUCUCGACAGCUACAUAAAUCAUGCUAUGGUGGUCAACAUGAAAGGAAAAGGCUCAGUUGAUGUUUACAUCAGUAAAGGUUCAAACGAACAGAAAGACAAAGGGAAAAAGAAUUCUCAAACAAUAGAUCAUGGGGUAAGAAGAAUAACCAUCAAAUGUGUUCCCAUUGCAAAAAGCGUAACCAUGCAGAAGCCAACUGCUGGUUUAGACCUUCAACUAAGUGCCGAAUCUGUAAUUAGCAUGGUCAUAUAGAAAAGGUGUGCAAGAAUAAGUUUGAAAAUCGAGAGAAAUCUCCUCAAGCAUCUAAGAGAGCUGAGAUUGCUGAAGAAACACUUCUGAUGG